This 254-nucleotide long non-coding RNA is filed under the name Vitis vinifera (wine grape). RNAcentral's name for it is "long non-coding RNA (VVIN_LNC002483)". Lineage: Eukaryota; Viridiplantae; Streptophyta; Magnoliopsida; Vitales; Vitaceae. The record is from RNAcentral.
GUGUGAAAAAUAGUUAUGGGUAACAAUCAUGCCUUACUAGAUACAAACCCAAAACCAAUCUGGUUUUUUUUUUUUUUUUUCUUUUUUUGUAUAUUUUGAUUUUUAAAGUGAAAGAAGCAAAAUGACAAUACAUUCAUUAUUCAACAAAAUGACAAUACAUUCAUUCAACAAAAUGAUAAUACAUUCAUUAUUCAGGUCAGAUCAUCCUCCUCCAAUUCUUUGGCCUUCAGACUUUCCUUCACUCUCAGCAAAAG